GAUGAACGCUAGCGGCAGGCUUAACACAUGCAAGUCGAGGGGCAGCAUGAGACGGAGAUUCGUCGAAGUCUUGAUGGCGACCGGCGCAAGGGUGCGUAACGCGUGAGCAACUUGCCCGUUUCAGGGGGAUAACCGGUGGAAACGCCGACUAAUACCCCAUGGUGAUGUUAUGAGGCAUCUCAUUUCAUCUAAAGAGAUUCGGAAACGGAUAGGCUCGCGUGACAUUAGCUAGAUGGCGGGGUAACGGCCCACCAUGGCGACGAUGUCUAGGGGUUCUGAGAGGAAGGUCCCCCACACUGGAACUGAGACACGGUCCAG
This 318-nucleotide ribosomal RNA is filed under the name uncultured bacterium. Its description in RNAcentral is "bacterial SSU rRNA". It matches the Rfam family "Bacterial small subunit ribosomal RNA", at positions 28 to 334 of the family's 1533-position model. The record is from RNAcentral.